RNAcentral lists this ribosomal RNA (253 nucleotides) under uncultured bacterium. RNAcentral's name for it is "partial 16S ribosomal RNA". It matches the Rfam family "Bacterial small subunit ribosomal RNA", at positions 524 to 776 of the family's 1533-position model. The record is from RNAcentral.
UACGGAGGGUGCAAACGUUGCUCGGAAUCAUUGGGCGUAAAGCGCACGUAGGCGGCCUGUUAAGUCGGAUGUGAAAGCCCCGGGCUCAACCCGGGAAGUGCAUACGAAACUGGCAGGCUUGAAUAUGGAAGAGGGUCGCGGAAUUCCCGGUGUAGAGGUGAAAUUCGUAGAUAUCGGGAGGAACACCAGUGGCGAAGGCGGCGACCUGGGCCAAUAUUGACGCUGAGGUGCGAAAGCGUGGGGAGCAAACAGG